UGGGGAAUAUUGGACAAUGGGCGCAAGCCUGAUCCAGCCAUGCCGCGUGAGUGAUGAAGGCCCUAGGGUUGUAAAGCUCUUUCACCGGUGAAGAUAAUGACGGUAACCGGAGAAGAAGCCCCGGCUAACUUCGUGCCAGCAGCCGCGGUAAUACGAAGGGGGCUAGCGUUGUUCGGAUUUACUGGGCGUAAAGCGCACGUAGGCGGACUAUUAAGUCAGGGGUGAAAUCCCGGGGCUCAACCCCGGAACUGCCUUUGAUACUGGUAGUCUUGAGUUCGAGAGAGGUGAGUGGAAUUCCGAGUGUAGAGGUGAAAUUCGUAGAUAUUCGGGGGAAAAACAGUGGCGAAGGCGGCUCACUGGCUCGAUACUGACGCUGAGGUGCGAAAGCGUGGGGAGCAAACAGG
This 404-nucleotide ribosomal RNA is filed under the name Actinomycetes bacterium. RNAcentral's name for it is "Actinobacteria bacterium partial 16S ribosomal RNA". It matches the Rfam family "Bacterial small subunit ribosomal RNA", at positions 355 to 776 of the family's 1533-position model. Lineage: Bacteria; Bacillati; Actinomycetota; Actinomycetes. The record is from RNAcentral.